This 208-nucleotide long non-coding RNA is filed under the name Mytilus galloprovincialis (Mediterranean mussel). The record is from RNAcentral. Lineage: Eukaryota; Metazoa; Mollusca; Bivalvia; Mytilida; Mytilidae.
GUCUCAGUUGUAGGCCAGAACCACGCGGUAGACUAAUAUGAACUGAUACCAGGCCACAGUAUUAAUACGUAUCCGUUUACUGUUAAGUUUCUAUCCAUACACAUAAAGUAUAACACUGUAUGACAGACAAUGAAUAAAACGCAAAACCAUACAAUUCAGAAUUGACAACAUAGUUUAGACAGGCUAGGAACAUUUGCGUUAAAUUGAU